RNAcentral lists this ribosomal RNA (447 nucleotides) under uncultured bacterium. Its description in RNAcentral is "partial 16S ribosomal RNA". It matches the Rfam family "Bacterial small subunit ribosomal RNA", at positions 29 to 523 of the family's 1533-position model. The record is from RNAcentral.
AGCGAACGCUGGCGGCAGGCUUUACACAUGCAAGUCGAACGCCCCUUCGGGGGAGUGGCAGACGGGUGAGUAACGCGUGGGAAGUCGCCUUUUGGUGGGGAAUAACGCAGGGAAACUUGCGCUAAUACCGCAUAAGCCCGUGAGGGGAAAGAUUUAUCGCCAAAAGAUAAGCCCGCGUCUGAUUAGCGAGUUGGUGAGGUAAUGGCUCACCAAGGCGACGAUCAUUAGCUGGUCUGAGAGGAUGACCAGCCACACGGUGACUGAGACCCGGCCCAUAAUCCUACGGGAGGCAGCAGUGGGGAAUAUUGGACAAUGGGCGCAAGCCUGAUCCAGCCAUGCCGCGUGAGUGAUGAAGGCCUUAGGGUUGUAAAGCUCUUUCGUGUGGGAAGAUAAUGACUGUACCACAAGAAUAAGUCCCGGCUAACUUCGUGCCAGCCGCCGCGGUAA